Molecule: unclassified non-coding RNA, 473 nt
Filed under: uncultured fungus
Lineage: Eukaryota; Fungi
Description: partial contains small subunit ribosomal RNA, internal transcribed spacer 1, and 5.8S ribosomal RNA
Rfam family: Eukaryotic small subunit ribosomal RNA (bases 1-73)
Source: RNAcentral
ACAAACUUGGUCAUUUAGAGGAAGUAAAAGUCGUAACAAGGUUUCCGUAGGUGAACCUGCGGAAGGAUCAUUAGUGAUUGCCCUAGUGGCUUAAACUAUAUCCAUAUACACCUGUGAACCGUUUGAUUGACACUCUGUGUUGAUUUUACAAACAAUGUGUAAUGAACGUCUAGUUAUUAUAACAAAAAAUAACUUUCAACAACGGAUCUCUUGGCUCUCGCAUAGAUGAGGAACGCAAACUUGGUCUUAUAGAGGAAGUAAAAGUCGUAACAAGGUUUCCGUAGGUGAACCUGCGGAAGGAUCAUUAGUGAUUGCCCUAGUGGCUUAAACUAUAUCCAUAUACACCUGUGAACCGUUUGAUUGACACUCUGUGUUGAUUUUACAAACAAUGUGUAAUGAACGUCUAGUUAUUAUAACAAAAAAUAACUUUCAACAACGGAUCUCUUGGCUCUCGCAUCGAUGAAGAACGCAGC